GGGUCAGUAGGUUGGUCGUGCCACCGGUACGUACUGGUCUCACUGAUUCCUCCUUCCUGAAGAACCGUAAUGCCAUUAAUUUGGUGUUGCGGGGAAACAGGACUGUUACUUUGGAGAAAUUAGAGUGUUUAAAGCAAGCUAACGCUUGAAUACAUUAGCAUGGAAUAAUGAAAUAGGACGAUCGAUCCUAUUUUGUUGGUUUCUAGGAUUGACGUA
This 216-nucleotide ribosomal RNA is filed under the name Glomeromycotina sp. Its description in RNAcentral is "partial small subunit ribosomal RNA". The stretch from base 40 to 216 matches the Rfam family "Eukaryotic small subunit ribosomal RNA", at positions 686 to 864 of the family's 1831-position model. Lineage: Eukaryota; Fungi; Glomeromycota. The record is from RNAcentral.